CACACUGGAACUGAGACACGGUCCAGACUCCUACGGGAGGCAGCAGUAGGGAAUCUUCCGCAAUGGGCGAAAGCCUGACGGAGCAACGCCGCGUGAGUGAUGAAGGUCUUCGGAUCGUAAAACUCUGUUAUUAGGGAAGAACAAACGUGUAAGUAACUGUGCACGUCUUGACGGUACCUAAUCAGAAAGCCACGGCUAACUACGUGCCAGCAGCCGCGGUAAUACGUAGGUGGCAAGCGUUAUCCGGAAUUAUUGGGCGUAAAGCGCGCGUAGGCGGUUUUUUAAGUCUGAUGUGAAA
Molecule: ribosomal RNA, 298 nt
Filed under: Staphylococcus hominis
Lineage: Bacteria; Bacillati; Bacillota; Bacilli; Caryophanales; Staphylococcaceae
Description: partial 16S ribosomal RNA
Rfam family: Bacterial small subunit ribosomal RNA
Source: RNAcentral